Molecule: long non-coding RNA, 295 nt
Filed under: Homo sapiens (human)
Lineage: Eukaryota; Metazoa; Chordata; Mammalia; Primates; Hominidae
Description: non-protein coding lnc-GNG4-4:1
Source: RNAcentral
AUAGACCAUGUUUACCAAAUGCCCUUAUUAGCACACACCAUAUCACUGCUAGGGAUAUUAGUCUAUCGAUCCCACCUAGUAUCAUCCCUGUUAUGCCUAGAAGGCAUAAUACUAUCAAUAGUUAUCAUAAAUACUCUUACAGCUUUAAGCAUACAUUUCACUCUAGCACCCAUAAUCCCCAUCAUCCUCCUAGUAUUUGCUCCCUGCGAAGCUGCAGUGGGCUUUGCCUUACUAGUUUCAAUCUCCAACACAUAUGGCCUGGAUUACGUACAAAAUCUAAAUUUACUUCAAUGCU